CGGAGUGAUAUUACUGGAGGGGACACACCCGUUCCCAUUCCGAAUACGGAAGUUAAGCCCUCCAAGGCCGAUGGUACUAUGCUGGCAACGGCAUGGGAGAGUAGGUAGUUGCUCCGG
Molecule: ribosomal RNA, 117 nt
Filed under: Candidatus Omnitrophota bacterium
Lineage: Bacteria; Pseudomonadati; Candidatus Omnitrophota
Source: RNAcentral